CCCUUAGAUGUCCUGGGCUGCACGCGCGCUACACUGGAAGUUACGGAUUGAGAUACUACCUUGUCCGAAAUGGUCCGGGUAAUCACCUAAAAGCUUGUCAUAAUUGGAAUGGAUUAUUGUAACUAGUAAUCCUGAACGAGGGAUUCCUAGUAAGUCCCAGUCAACAGCUGGUACUGAUUACGUCCCUGCCCUUUGUACACACCGCCCGUCGCUACUACUGAUUGGACGUUUAAGCAAGAUUUUUAAACACUGACAGUGUGUAGUUCACGCUAUACUACAGUGAGAAGAAGAAGAUCGAGCUUACUUGUCUAGAGGAAGUAAAAGUCGUAACA
Molecule: ribosomal RNA, 332 nt
Filed under: uncultured eukaryote
Lineage: Eukaryota
Description: partial 18S ribosomal RNA
Rfam family: Eukaryotic small subunit ribosomal RNA
Source: RNAcentral